This 433-nucleotide ribosomal RNA is filed under the name uncultured bacterium. RNAcentral describes it as "partial 16S ribosomal RNA". It matches the Rfam family "Bacterial small subunit ribosomal RNA", at positions 29 to 507 of the family's 1533-position model. The record is from RNAcentral.
AGCGAACGCUGGCGGCAGGCCUAACACAUGCAAGUCGAACGAACUCUUCGGAGUUAGUGGCGGACGGGUGAGUAACACGUGGGAACGUGCCUUUAGGUUCGGAAUAACUCAGGGAAACUUGUGCUAAUACCGAAUGUGCCCUUCGGGGGAAAGAUUUAUCGCCUUUAGAGCGGCCCGCGUCUGAUUAGCUAGCUGGUGAGGUAAAGGCUCACCAAGGCGACGAUCAGUAGCUGGUCUGAGAGGAUGAUCAGCCACAUUGGGACUGAGACACGGCCCAAACUCCUACGGGAGGCAGCAGUGGGGAAUCUUGCGCAAUGGGCGAAAGCCUGACGCAGCCAUGCCGCGUGAAUGAUGAAGGUCUUAGGAUUGUAAAAUUCUUUCACCGGGGACGAUAAUGACGGUACCCGGAGAAGAAGCCCCGGCUAACUUCGUG